Molecule: RNA transcript, 1904 nt
Organism: Populus nigra (black poplar)
Lineage: Eukaryota; Viridiplantae; Streptophyta; Magnoliopsida; Malpighiales; Salicaceae
Gene name: alpha-galactosidase-like
Exons: 13
Source: RefSeq, a predicted model, not a curated record
AGGCCUUCAGGAACUCUUGGUAUAUAUAUCGCUAUUCAAGACCUGCCGGUUACUUUCAACAUCUUUUUUUUCCCUUCCUGUCCUAAUUCCAUCCUCAAAUCCAUGAAGGGAACUUGCUUUCUUAAUUUCAUGAAAAUGAAAUAGCCGUACGCAGUGGAGCUGAGCUGUGGUAGACCAACGAUCCCUUGUUUGUUCUUUCUAUAAAAUACGACACCACGCAAUUCCAUAUAGCGAUGCCGGCAGUUACAUGUGUGUGUAUAUAUACAUAUAGAUAUAUCUUCCACCAAGAACCAGCCUGACUCGAACCUCUCUUUCAGAUAUCAUAGAGACUUGACUUCAGUUUCCUACCUGCGUAUAUACAAUAUGGUGGUUUAUCAUCAAUCUAGCAGCCAAUCUAUGCUGGGCAAGCUCGGAUCAGGAGUGGUUGCCUUAUCGAUAUGCUUCUUCUUCUUCUUCUUGCGAUUGGUGUCAAAUGCUGAUGCUGCUGGUCGUCCAAUCAACAUGGGAAAACAAUAUUCCAAUUCAAGUCAUGAUGAUCGUCAGCUUUCUCGGAUGAGGGGUCUUUCUGCAAAUGGACUCGGUCUUGCACCACCCAUGGGAUGGAAUAGUUGGAACCAUUUUCACUGUAACAUUGAAGAGAAAUUGAUUAGGGAUACAGCGGAUGCAAUGGUUUCAUCUGGCCUUGCUGCUCUAGGAUAUGAACACGUAAAUUUAGACGAUUGCUGGGCUGAACUUAACAGGGACUCUGAGGGAAACUUGGUUCCAAAAGCUUCGACGUUUCCCUCGGGAAUAAAAGCGUUGGCAGAUUAUAUACAUGGAAAAGGGUUGAAGCUUGGAAUUUACUCCGAUGCUGGGAGUCAGACCUGCAGUAGAACAAUGCCUGGAUCAUUAGGCCACGAGGAACAAGAUGCAAAAACGUUUGCUUCCUGGGGAGUGGACUACUUGAAGUAUGAUAACUGUAACAAUGAUGGUACAAGCCCAAAGGAGAGAUAUCCAGUAAUGAGCAAGGCCUUGUUAGAUUCUGGAAGGCCCAUCUUCUUUUCACUGUGUGAAUGGGGGCAGGAAGACCCAGCAACUUGGGCAUCGAAUGUUGGAAAUAGUUGGAGAACAACAGGAGACAUUUCUGAUAACUGGAAUAGCAUGACAUCCUGUGCAGAUCAAAACGAUCAAUGGGCGUCUUAUGCUGCACCUGGAGGUUGGAACGAUCCUGACAUGCUUGAAGUUGGAAAUGGAGGCAUGACAACAGAGGAAUAUCGCUCACAUUUCAGCAUAUGGGCGUUAGCCAAGGCUCCUCUUCUCAUUGGAUGUGAUGUUCGAACAAUGAGUGAUGAAACACUUGAAAUAUUAAGCAACAGGGAAGUUAUUGCAGUUAAUCAAGGUGUGGGCUGGCCCUCUUAGCAAUAAUAAGAUAGCGGUGGUGCUAUGGAAUAGAGGUUCCUCAAGAGCUACAGUUACUGCUUACUGGUCUGACAUAGGCCUUGAUCCAACGACUACUUUCAAUGCUAGAGAUUUAUGGGCGCACUCUAAUCAGCCAUCAGUUAAAGGACAGAUAUCAGCUGAUUUGGAUUCCCAUGCUUGUAAAAUGUAUGUCCUGACUCCCCAGUAGCGAUCACAUUGCUGUGAUCGGAAUGCAUGGAAGAGCUGGCCUGGCUAGAAGAAAGGAAGAUAAGAGAAAGAGGAAAAGAGUUGAAUUGUAGCAGCAUUCACUGUAUUAGCUCCUUUGCCUUACGUGCUUAAAUAAAUAGUUGACCCGUUUCAUGGACUUUUUUUGUUGUGUAUCAAUUUCUUUAUUUUACUUUGUUAAAAUUUAUUAGUUUGAUGUUUUUUUAUUAUUACUUUCUAUCAUAAACAAUGAGAUUGUCCUCGAUGCAUCAAAUCAAAUAAAUGCAGAAGAAGUUAUUUGA